AAUUGGAGGCCAGUGAAUGGCAAGACUAGGAACACCUUUACCUUUUAUACCAAAAAAACUUUUCAUCUAAGUGAAAAGACUUAGAUAAUAUAGGAAGACGAAAAGACCCCGCGGAACUUUACUCCUUAUUAUACCAACACCCAAAAGCACAAGGUAUCAAGAGUUUGAUUGGGGCAAUCUCGGAACCAACAAGCUUCCGAUUAUCUUAAUAACAUAUCCAAAAUUUGGUAUAGACAAAACAGAAGUUACCCCGGGGAUAACAGCGUUAUCCAACUUAAGAGUACACAUCGAAAGUUGGGUUUGCGACCUCGAUGUUG
This 317-nucleotide ribosomal RNA is filed under the name Ptychorhynchus pfisteri. RNAcentral's name for it is "partial 16S ribosomal RNA". The stretch from base 66 to 317 matches the Rfam family "Bacterial large subunit ribosomal RNA", at positions 2048 to 2534 of the family's 2925-position model. The record is from RNAcentral. Lineage: Eukaryota; Metazoa; Mollusca; Bivalvia; Unionida; Unionidae.